AACGAACGCUGGCGGCAUGCCUAACACAUGCAAGUCGAACGAGACCUUCGGGUCUAGUGGCGCACGGGUGCGUAACGCGUGGGAACCUGCCCUUAGGUUCGGAAUAACUCCCCGAAAGGGGUGCUAAUACCGGAUAAUGUCUUCGGACCAAAGAUUUAUCGCCUUUGGAUGGGCCCGCGUUGGAUUAGCUAGUUGGUAGGGUAAAAGCCUACCAAGGCGACGAUCCAUAGCUGGUCUGAGAGGAUGAUCAGCCACACUGGGACUGGGACACGGCCCAGACUCCUACGAGAGGCAGCAGUGGGGGAUAUUGGACAAGGGGCGAAAGCCUGAACCAGCAAGGGCGCGUGAGUGAUGAAGGCCUUGGGGUUGUAAAGCUCUUUUAACCGGGAUGAUAAUGACAGUACCGGGAGAAUAAGCUCCGGCUAACUCCGUG
RNAcentral lists this ribosomal RNA (433 nucleotides) under uncultured bacterium. Its description in RNAcentral is "partial 16S ribosomal RNA". It matches the Rfam family "Bacterial small subunit ribosomal RNA", at positions 29 to 507 of the family's 1533-position model. The record is from RNAcentral.